GGGACAACCCGCCGAAAGGCGGGCUAAACCCGCGUACAUGCCACCGGGGCAUCCCGGAGGCAGGAAAGGCUUCGGCCGGACAGGGAUGGGCAUGCGGCGCAUUAGGCAGUAGGCGGGGUAACGACCCACCUAACCGACGAUGCGUAGGGGUUCUGAGAGGAAGGUCCCCCACACUGGUACUGAGACACGGACCAGACUCCUACGGGAGGCAGCAGUGAGGAAUAUUGGUCAAUGGUCGGGAGACUGAACCAGCCAAGCCGCGUGAGGGAGGAAGGUACAGAGUAUCGUAAACCUCUUUUGUCAGGGAACAAAGACUGGGACGCGUCCCCGGAUGAGUGUACCUGAAGAAAAAGCAUCGGCUAACUCCGUGCCAGCAGCCGCGGUAAUACGGAGGAUGCGAGCGUUAUCCGGAUUUAUUGGGUUUAAAGGGUGCGCAGGCGGUCUGUUAAGUCAGCGGUCAAAGCCCGGGGCUCAACCCCGGCCCGCCGUUGAAACUGGCAGUCUCGAGUUGGAGAGAAGUAUGCGGAAUGCGCGGUGUAGCGGUGAAAUGCAUAGAUAUCGCGCAGAACUCCGAUUGCGAAGGCAGCAUGCCGGCCCCACACUGACGCUGAGGCACGAAAGCGUGGGUAUCGAACAGGAUUAGAUACCCUGGUAGUCCACGCAGUAAAC
Molecule: ribosomal RNA, 669 nt
Filed under: uncultured bacterium
Lineage: Bacteria
Description: bacterial SSU rRNA
Rfam family: Bacterial small subunit ribosomal RNA
Source: RNAcentral